Molecule: ribosomal RNA, 472 nt
Filed under: uncultured bacterium
Lineage: Bacteria
Description: partial 16S ribosomal RNA
Rfam family: Bacterial small subunit ribosomal RNA
Source: RNAcentral
GACGAACGCUGGCGGCGUGCUUAACACAUGCAAGUCGAACGCUGAAGCUUGGUGCUUGCACUGGGUGGAUGAGUGGCGAACGGGCGAGUAAUACGUGAGUAACCUGCCCUUGACUCUGGGAUAAGCCUGGGAAACUGGGUCUAAUACUGGAUACGACAUGCCACUGCAUGGUGGUGUGUGGAAAGGGUUUUACUGGUUUUGGAUGGGCUCACGGCCUAUCAGCUUGUUGGUGGGGUAAUGGCCUACCAAGGCGACGACGGGUAGCCGGCCUGAGAGGGUGACCGGCCACACUGGGACUGAGACACGGCCCAGACUCCUACGGGAGGCAGCAGUGGGGAAUAUUGCACAAUGGGCGGAAGCCUGAUGCAGCGACGCCGCGUGAGGGAUGACGGCCUUCGGGUUGUAAACCUCUUUCAGCACGGAAGAAGCGAGAGUGACGGUACGUGCAGAAGAAGCGCCGGCUAACUACGUG